Molecule: transfer RNA, 71 nt
Filed under: Loxodonta africana (African savanna elephant)
Lineage: Eukaryota; Metazoa; Chordata; Mammalia; Proboscidea; Elephantidae
Rfam family: tRNA
About the family: Transfer RNA (tRNA) molecules are approximately 80 nucleotides in length. Their secondary structure includes four short double-helical elements and three loops (D, anti-codon, and T loops).
Source: Rfam by way of RNAcentral
GCAGUAGUAGUUCAGUGGUAGAAUUCUCACCUUCCGUGCGGGAGACCUGGGUUCGAUUCCCAACCAAUGCA